GCGCAGAAUUGUAUAUUACACGGACAUGUUAGGUUAAAAAUCUUUGAGAUAGACAUUUCAAAACAGACAUAAUCAAUGUGUUCUUGGCGAACCCCCCACCUUUCCCAAAAGAAUGGCACUGUAUCAUAACCAUCACAACGCGCAACUAACCGGCCCCCAAAACAAUUCGAAAAACGGUUCAGUUCACACAUAAUUAAGAGAGAUAAUAAAAAUAAUGCAAUGGAAGCAUACGACACUUUCAAUAUUAUGUCAAGGUAUUUAUAAAGGCAACUACACUUUCGAGUUAUACUGAAUUGGGAUUUCAAAAUUUUGCUUUAGUGACUUGAUGUUUAUACAACGCGUACAGUUUGUAUACAUAGAAACUAUACUUACCUAUUAGUAAUAUAUUCGAUUUAAGAUGCAGAUCUCGGCUUCAGAAUGCACAGGGUCCGAAUGAAUUGCACCUUCACAUUUUUUCGCGAGAAUAUCAUUUCAUGCUACUUACUAAUAGUGCAUGUGUUCCUAUUCCCUUAUACAUGUAUUACCUUUCUAAACGAUUGCCGAAGCUUUGUCGAUGACGUUAAACGCGACCUAGCUACCGCAAAUUAGAUUAAGGUCAGAAAUCAGAGCAGGUGUAUAAUUUCUUUUGUUUCAAUAUCAAAUCAAUAUACUUUUAGUAGAACACCUGAAUUAGUUAAUAGGCCCAGACAUACUUUUUUUAAUUGGGAUGGUUAUACGGAUGUAUUAUUUAGAUCAUUGAUGACGCAAUACAGUGGUGCUUUUCUGUGAAAUUAUAAAAACAAGUCGGAAUCGUUCUUAUCUACAAAUGUAAAACCUCUCUUCAAAUUAUAUCAAAAUGAAUUGGAACAAAGCUGGAAUCGGGUCUCUUCUUUUUAAGAUAUGAUCAUACAUGUAGCUCAACCUUAACCCGAAUAAUUCAGUCGUUAUAUUCCGCUGAUCUACGAAGGCUACAUUAACCUCGUGUGGGAAAAAAUCGGACAAGGAAAGGGCUUGAAUCUUCGAGUUAGCUCAACCCAUCAAAAACUUGCAAAACUAGACACUUUACUGUAUGAGAUAAUUGAACAAGUAAGUGUCGCUCAUCUAGGUCUAUGUGCAUGUCUAACAAUGGACACUCUCUAACAUUGUGCACUAGAAUAUAAUUCAUGACAAACAGUUUUUUUUUUUUGUUUAUUCUGUUAAAAUAUUUUCUCUGGUCUUUAUUUUUUGCCCAAAAGAUAGAAUAGGGUAGAAAAACGUCAUGUUAAUGGCUAUUAAUCUUAUCAAGAGUCUACUAACGAUUUCUGCAGAAUUUGCAUGAUUUGUAGAUAUUUUUUCGAAUAACCUGUUUUUUGCCAUGUGAUAUGG
Molecule: long non-coding RNA, 1344 nt
Filed under: Mytilus galloprovincialis (Mediterranean mussel)
Lineage: Eukaryota; Metazoa; Mollusca; Bivalvia; Mytilida; Mytilidae
Source: RNAcentral